AUUGAACGCUGGCGGCAUGCCUUACACAUGCAAGUCGAACGGCAGCACGGGUGCUUGCCCCUGGUGGCGAGUGGCGAACGGGUGAGUAAUACAUCGGAACAUGUCCUGUAGUGGGGGAUAGCCCGGCGAAAGCCGGAUUAAUACCGCAUACGAUCAACGGAUGACAGCGGGGGACCUUCUGGCCUCGCGCUAUAGGGUUGGCCGAUGGCUGAUUAGCUAGUUGGUGGGGUAAAGGCCUACCAAGGCGACGAUCAGUAGCUGGUCUGAGAGGACGACCAGCCACACUGGGACUGAGACACGGCCCAGACUCCUACGGGAGGCAGCAGUGGGGAAUUUUGGACAAUGGGCGAAAGCCUGAUCCAGCAAUGCCGCGUGUGUGAAGAAGGCCUUCGGGUUGUAAAGCACUUUUGUCCGGAAAGAAAUCCUUGACUCUAAUACAGUCGGGGGAUGACGGUACCGGAAGAAUAAGCACCGGCUAACUACGUG
RNAcentral lists this ribosomal RNA (486 nucleotides) under uncultured bacterium. RNAcentral's name for it is "partial 16S ribosomal RNA". It matches the Rfam family "Bacterial small subunit ribosomal RNA", at positions 30 to 507 of the family's 1533-position model. The record is from RNAcentral.